GUGACAUUAGCUGCUCUAGUUAGCUUACCUAGAGCCUUGCCAGUGGGGAUAUAUGAGGGUGUCACGUUGACCUGCACUGUAACUAUUGCUUUUCAGGAAAAACAGGACUGGAAUUGCUAAGAUAAGAACUGUAAAGCAAGGAUGCUACCUGAAGGUGUAGCCACAUUUCAUCUUGCCCUGCAACAGACUGUCUCUAGGUCCUUUUCAGCCCUAUUCUACAUGACCAGUGAUUCUUAGGUGGACUAUGUGCUGUCAUUUACACCUGUCCAAAAUGGUUAUGCUGUCCUUCAGUUUUAAGAAGCUCAACAAGUGCUGGCGGGAGCACAGCACGCACCUGGGAGGCAACAAAGAAAUUCCUGUGUGCCAAAACUGGCACUUACAGCCACUCUUCUCUGUGACUGCAGUCAGUGCAUAACCUUCUGUCUCAGAUUCCCCAUGCAUGAAAUGAGGUUGGGAAACAAAGAUAUGGAGAAGAUCAUGGUUAUUCAACAAGGAUAACGAGAACCUG
Molecule: long non-coding RNA, 508 nt
Filed under: Struthio camelus australis
Lineage: Eukaryota; Metazoa; Chordata; Aves; Struthioniformes; Struthionidae
Description: lncRNA (ENSSCUG00000012419.1)
Source: RNAcentral